AUGAAAUUGAUCUGCCCGUGCAGAAGCGGACAUAAAUACAUAAGACGAGAAGACCCUAUGGAGCUUUAGACACCAGGCAGAUCACGUCAAGUAACCUUGAAUUAACAAGUAAAAACGCAGUGACCCCUAGCCCAUAUGUCUUUGGUUGGGGCGACCGCGGGGGAAAACAAAGCCCCCAUGUGGACUGGGGGCACUGCCCCCACAACCAAGAGUCACAACUCUAAGUACCAGAAUUUCUGACCAAAAAUGAUCCGGCAUGACGCCGAUCAACGGACCGAGUUACCCUAGGGAUAACAGCGCAAUCCUCUCCCAGAGUCCCUAUCGA
Molecule: ribosomal RNA, 325 nt
Filed under: Salmo environmental sample
Lineage: Eukaryota; Metazoa; Chordata; Actinopteri; Salmoniformes; Salmonidae
Description: partial 16S ribosomal RNA
Rfam family: Bacterial large subunit ribosomal RNA
Source: RNAcentral